Molecule: long non-coding RNA, 926 nt
Filed under: Manacus vitellinus (golden-collared manakin)
Lineage: Eukaryota; Metazoa; Chordata; Aves; Passeriformes; Pipridae
Description: lncRNA (ENSMVIG00005001817.1)
Source: RNAcentral
AGCUGAUAGUGGCGAAGCCCACUCCAUCACCUAGGAGUCUGACAAUCCUGGUCCCAGCAGGUGAAAGGAUGGAGGAGGAAGAUGAAUCAUUUGGAUUCUGCUGCCAUGGACUGAAUUAUCUCUGACUUAUCUCUGAAACAACUGAUGUGUCCUCCCAGAGAUGUAGCCUGCAGCCCCCACUCCAGGACUGCUUCCUAACAGGAAGCCUCUACCGCCUCCACCUCUGUGAGCAUCAGCUUUGUCAACACACCAUCCAGUGCAUCCCAAGCUGAUUAUUGGCUGUAUAGGAGUUGUAGCUGUAUAUGCUAUGAGGAGACUGACCCUGUCCACAGCCACAUGCACAUCACAUAGCUGCAUACAUUGAAGGUGAAUUUCUGUGACAGCAACCAAUGCAGCAGGGGAGCUACUGUGGCCUUUGUAUCUGCCAAAUAUGUCAGCAGUGAUCCCACAUCCCCCUCUUCUUGCUAACCCAAUAUCACAAAGAUGGUAUGAACCAUUUUCCUAGAAAUUGAAAGUUGUUUUCCUAACAAACAACUACUGUAUGGUUGUCUGAGAGGACUGGAUUGCUGCAGAAUGUGUUUCAGGUCUGGAAGAUUUAAGGCUGGCAUCUAAACAGAGAGAGAGAAGAUAAGCAAUGCAAGAAUAUGUGUAUGUGAGUGUGUACAGUUAUUUUCAUUACAAACGAUAAAAAGAUAUAUAAGGUAUAUAUCAAAACACAUACAAAAGCUACAUACAAGAGAAAUAUUUUGAUUGCAUACCCAUUCACCUUUGUGAUAAUGUUUAUUUUUAGUCACCCUGUUCAGUGCUGAGAGCUUUUAUGGAUUUUACUUAGCAGUGAAGUGAUGCUCAAAUGACUGAUACCAGAACUUUUGUGAAACCUAUUCAUAGUAGUGCCCACAGUUAAUGAUUCAAUAAGGAGAUUUAUG